GCAAAAUGUUACCCCAGGCAAUUUGUGAAAAUGUUAAUGUUGAAAAUUGGCAGAGACAAUCGCCACCCUAGAAUUUCUGUUAUCAAUUGCUUACCACGUUGUGUCUGCUCCCAGAGGCAGUACCCAAGCUAGACACAAAAUGGCUUGCAUUUUUGAAAGAAGACAGGAGAGAAGAGACUAGGCAGAGGCUUCUCCCUCUCCCCUCAUAGGACACAUCUGUAAGAACGAGCAUAAUCUACAUCUAAGUGGUGUUUUCUAACUGCAAGCAGUCUUGACCAGCCACCAGCAGCCUGCACCCAGAGUACAGUGUGAGCAUAGGUUCCAUGUGUUUUGCUUCAAGAGACAUAGAACCAGUGCCAGUGCUGAUGGGUUCCCGAGGGGCUGCAGGCCAGUGGAUGCUGGCAUGCUGACCAGAGAAGCGGUCCCCAAAGCCUCAGAGCAGCCAUAUCAGGAGCAAGUCAGUGUGGACACAGGAUUCCAUUAUCUAGUUCAGUCAGGGAACUUGUUCUGUUUUCCUUUUGUUUUAAAAGAUGCAGCUUCAAGCCCUCCCUUCCUGAUUUGGGCCUGCCUUUUCCCAGGAGGAGCUUCUCCAAGCCUUGUCCUAUAGCUACUUCAGUGUGAUGGAAGCCUCAGGGCACAAAGUAAUCAUUGGUGAUGUCAAGUCACAAUGGAAAUGCAGUGUAGGAUAUUCAAACCCCAGAGUCCUCACAGGGCAGAUUCCCUAAGGUAUCGAGAAGUGGUGGAUGAUCUGCUAGACCAGUGAGAGUGUAUAUGACCCAUCUGAAAGGAUUUUUUUUCUCUCACCACUCAACAAAUGGACAGUUUAUUCCCAAGGACGGUGUUGGGGAGGAGCAGGCAGGGGCAGGAGGGUCUUAGAGGACUUGGAACAGGUGGAACCCAUCUGUCCCUCCCUAUUCUCAAGGGCCACAAAUGACUCCACAGGUGGUUAUAGAAUUAACCACCAGUUCAUUCUCAAAAUGCUGCUUUGAACUCAGAGGGUUGAUACUUUUAAUUUGUAAUUUUUUGUAAAACUUUUUACAAGAUAGUAAAGUAUUUCACCAGAAUACCAGUUUCAAUCCGUCCGUGGUCUGAUUUUUAUAUAAUUUAGUGGUGCUUUAGAGACUUUGUUUUGUUGUUUCUGAGCGUAACAGCUCAAUCCUCUCUUGCCUGUAUCUACCUAAGACCAAUGUGAACCUUUGUAUUUUGCUCCUAAUUUUGGACUCAGUGGAAGUGUACUGUUUACAUGUACAGAUGCCCCAUCCCUGUGUUUUCUGCAAGACGCGCGCUCGAGGAGGAAGAUUGCACCUCACUAGCUCAUCUGCUUAGCAAAGCCACAAAACAAAACCUCUCACUUUGUACCCGUUUCCACCUAAAAACAAAAACCUUCACCACCUGGAACUCAGAUUUGCCAACACACUCUGCCUGGUAGACGCCCCGGGCCUCUAUCAUGUGUUCCCUUAGGAAUCAAGGCAGCACCUCCUGCCAGCUGGGUGCGAGACAGCACACAGAGGAGACACUGAUGCAGGACUUUACUGCCCAGCUCUGGGAGGAAGUUCUCUGAGCAGCAGGCAAUACGAAGGUCAAGAGGACUCAUGGGCCUUCAGGAGCAAGCCAGGCAGGAUUUAGGGACAACACAAGAGGCCAUCAAUCUGCUGGCAUGACUGAGACACACUUUGGAAGAACGUGAGUUCCAUGUAAGGUGAGACUGUGACUUUGAGUGCAGAUGACACAAGCACUUCAGGGGAGGGUCAGGGGCUCCAGACAGUAAGCAUAAGGCACUUACCGCAAGCAGUGGAUGGCACCAACUUUUCAAGGUGACUUUAUUAAUCAAUGGUUUCACCGCUAAAUUAUAUUUUUACAGAUAUGCACCUAUGCAACUUAAUGUGGCUCUUCUAAGCAGGUGAGGACCUCCUCCUCAAUGCUCUAUAUAAAGUGUUUGUGUUCUGUAUAGUGAGUUUCCCAGUAAAUGUGGCUUAAUACUUUCAUUCUUAGGAUGUGUCUUUCUACGUGAUGCAGCUACUAAAUUCUGUUUUGUUUGUGGAAUGACUAGCACAGGCCGAUGCCCUCUUUCCCUCACUUACCAGAAGACCAAUGAGCUGUUAAUGAGCGGUUAUCUCCAUGGUAUUACUGCUAAAUGCACUGAUGUCAUAAGUAUGUGGAAUCCUUUUCCUUUUGAGACUGUAUAUCAUAUACCAGACUGAAUCUACUUAAUAAACACUGAACAACAAACCC
RNAcentral lists this long non-coding RNA (2232 nucleotides) under Rattus norvegicus (Norway rat). RNAcentral describes it as "long non-coding RNA NONRATT018763". Lineage: Eukaryota; Metazoa; Chordata; Mammalia; Rodentia; Muridae. The record is from RNAcentral.